RNA transcript from Cucurbita pepo subsp. pepo (vegetable marrow), 810 nucleotides. It is a transcript of the gene named outer envelope membrane protein 7, with no coding region annotated. The record is from RefSeq and is a predicted model, not a curated record. NCBI's taxonomy places the organism in Eukaryota, Viridiplantae, Streptophyta, Magnoliopsida, Cucurbitales, Cucurbitaceae.
UCAUUAUUACAGUAAAAUAGAAAGAGCAGUCGGAGCUCUCUGCUUCUAACACACCUAGUCGGCGCCGCCACAACAAGAACCAUGGGAAAGAAACCGUCUGGGUCCAAGCAAGCAUUUUUCAUCCUCGGAGCCUUGGCACUGGGUUGGCUAGCCAUUGAGAUGGCCUUCAAGCCCUUCCUCGAUAAGGCCCGCUCCGCCAUGGACAACUCUGAUCCGACUCGGGAUCCCGACGACCUUCUCGAUAAACAAUCUGAUCACUUACAAUCGGACGACGAUCGAAGUACCACUGCUUGAAGUUGCAUCAUCUUGUGGCGGUAUGAAAAUUUGAAUUUUACAUCUUCUCCUCCGUUUCUUAUAAGUCUGCAAGCCGGCUAUCUCUGCACUUGCUAAAAUGGAUCCAUCUCUGGCUCUUGAGGUUGUGAUGGGAGUGCGCAGAGCACAGCCAAAAUGAAAAUGGCCUGCAACUCCAUUGUCACUUAGUGUGUUGCUUCCACUCUGAAAAGGUCUCUUUUUGUUAUUCCCUCUCCUUUUCGGAAUAAUAUUAAACAAUGCAGUGUUCUUAUUCUCAAUAUCAUAAUAUGAACAUCCUCAAGAAGACUUUUGGGGUCAGGCGAGCCACGUCGGGUAGUAGACUUCUCGACCUUCAUCAGUUGAGCAACUUGUUGAUUGAUCACUUCGUUCCGUUUAGGAAAUUGAAGUCUUAAGUUUCUAACUAUAGUUAUGCUGUUUGUGAUGUGAUUGUUAUCGCAGCAUUGGAAUAUGAUCGAGAGCUCUGGCUUAUUCUCUAAUCGAACAUAUUCUAAAACGAAA